AUGCACGAGAUCAACGCCGCGUCAUCUUGCCAGAUUGUAUGUUUAUUACAGGAAACCAAAUUGGUGAAUAUUGAUCAGUACACUGCAGGCUACCUGGGAGGCUUUCGCCUUAAAAGGUUUGCCCGCCCAGCGUUGGGAACAAGAGGGGGAAUUCUUAUGCUAUGGGACGAAUCUUUCUUCGACGUUUCCAACAUCAUCGUCUCCGAAUUUUGCCUUUUGGCCAUGGUCCAUGAGCGCUACUCGGGCACUGCCUUCAAGAUCACCUCCGUGUAUGGUCCUACCGCCGCGGCUAGAAAAGAUGAUUUUUUAGCCGAGCUUCUCUCCCAAAAACCCGCCUCCGAUCAUAAAUGGUUGGCAAUCGGUGAGUUAAAUCAAAUAUAUCGCAACUGAGACAAGAACAAGAGGAAUGUCAAUCGGAGCUGUAUCAAUAGAUUCCACAACACCCUUCAAUCUUGCGAGCUCGAGGAAAUUAACCUCCAACAUAGGCGCUUCACUUGGAGUAAUGAGAGAGCAAGACCAACCUUGUGCAAGCUAGACUCUUUCUCUUGCAAUGCAAAUUGGGACCUUCAGUUUGACAGUUUGACACACAUGUUCUCCAUGCUCCCAUCCGCACUCUCCGAUCAUUGCACUCUCCUCCUCGCCGAUGAUAGUGGCCCACGGAGGCCAUGAAGCUUUAGAUUCGAGAUUUUUUGACUUAUCCCGGGCUUUGAGGAGGUGGUGCUUGAAGCUUGGAAUGAGUCUACUGGACAUUUGGAACCUUUCCAAAACUUUUUUCACAAACUCAAGAACACCCGUGAGAAACUUGCUACUUGGAGCUGAGGGCUAUUCUCCAAGUCCAAGGUUCACUUCCAUGCCACCCUUCUCGUCGUCCUCCACCUCGACAUAGCACAAGAGAACCAGGCACUUCUGUUGGAAGAGCAUGAUCCAAGAUUGAGGCUAAAAAAGAAAUUCAUUAGCUUGGCAAUUGUGGAACGGGCUAGAAAGAAACAAUGCGCGCGGAUUUCCAAUCUCAAGGUAGGGGAUGCCAACACAAAAUUCUUUCAUUUGAGAGUCAAUGCUAGAAGAAGGAAGAACCACAUUCAUAGGCUAAAACAUAACAACGGCUGGGUCACCGACCAUGCGGUCAAGGCGACAUUGUGGCGUUGCGUUGGGGCGCUGCUUUGA
This 1164-nucleotide ribosomal RNA is filed under the name Triticum aestivum (bread wheat). RNAcentral's name for it is "partial small subunit ribosomal RNA". The record is from RNAcentral. Lineage: Eukaryota; Viridiplantae; Streptophyta; Magnoliopsida; Poales; Poaceae.